UUUCUUCUCUUUCGCCAUUUUGAUGACAAUUUAUCAUCACAAUGUCAACGUUGAUUCAAUCGAUUAACUUGAUUUUUUUUCUCUCCACAUAAAUUGUUGUCUAUUUGAUCUUUUUCUUUGAUUCAAUUUAUCGUGUUUAUCAUCAGACAACAUGAUCCAUGGGAAUAUCUUCACAAUCAUCAUCAUCAUCUCUCUUUUGCCAUUGAUUAUUCCAUGAGCUGAAUAAUACCCAUACAUUUACAUGGAGAAAAAUACUGAGAAUAACCAGAGAAUCAAUGGAAAUAUCAUCAUCAUCAUCAUCAUCGUCAUCAUCUCUUAACAUUAUCGGUUGAAUGUCUUGUGUAUUUACUUUUUUACAUUGACUUUUUUUCUAUGGAUUUUGGAUAAAUGAUGAUGUUGGUUUUCAAUUCUUUUUCCCAUUGAUAUUGAUGUUACACUUUUUGUCUCCAUGUUUACAAAUGAACAUGAAAGGCCAAGGACAAAUCUAAUAAACAAUAAUGAUUAUUAUCAUUCUAAUUCCAUAGGAUAAAAAGAGAGACAAGAUAAAGCCAAAGGGAGGAUGAAGAUUAGUACAGGAACAUCAUCAAUGUUUAACUAACAAUAUUAUCAAUCGUCUUUUUGGUUAAACAAAGUUAGACAAACAGAUCGGUGGAAAAAUGGAGAUGAUGAAGACAAAGAGAAAGAUAAAUGAUGAUGAUAAAGACACAGAACAUGUGAAAUCAUCUAAAGUUAAAGAUGAAUGUGUAACCAUUACAAUCAAGUUUAACAAUCCAACUCAAAAGAGAUGAGAGAAAAACAUACAAUCCAAAUAAUCAACCAGAUCAAAAGUAAAUCUAAAUACACAAAGAUGAAGGAGUAAUAUUACAAAUCGCUGACCAUUCCCACUGACCAUUGGAAGAGUUGUAAACGUUGAGUGUUUGUGUGUCUUUUUUUUACCCAAGUCCAUCAGUAAUUGUUUACUUAAUUUCAUGUGUGUCCUUUUACCAACCGUUGAUUGCUAUAUUAGCCUUAAUAUCAACCGCAGAGUAAAAAAAAACCAACAAUUGUAACACAAACUCACUGAUGAUAACAAUGAUUACCUGUGUAUUUAUCUCUCUCCCUCUCUAUUAGGGUAUUUACAAAUACAUAGAGUUUUAUUUUAAGCAGAUUUCAAUGGACCCAAAGAGUAAUAGUAAUCUAUGUUAUAUACUAUUGUUACCAAUUUAGUUAAUACUUGACUAUCAUCAGGGUAAUGGAGUUACUGUUAUUGUUGUUGGUUUGGUUGUUAGUUUUAUUAAUAUUGUUCAUGCAAAACUGAUGAUGGUAAAAAAAACGUAGAUCAAUGUGAAAAAAGCUCUUAUAAUUUAUUUUAGUUACUAAAUUGUUACUAUUAUUAUCAUUCUCCAUCCAAAUGGUAAAGGUAUUCAUUAGGAUAUCCUUUUAUUUUUUACUUAACUUUCCCCUUCCUCCAUAGAGUGUCUUGUAUUUGUAAUUCUCUCUCUCUUUCUAUCUUCAUCAUCAUCAAUCCAUUAGGCUAUCUUCUUAUCAUCCUCCUUCGAUUUCACAUAGAAAGUAAAGAAAGAGAGAAAGUUCCUAAUUCUUUGAACUUACAUAGAGAAAAUGUAUUGAUAAACUUUUCUCUUCCAUUCUCAACUCUGUAUUAUAACUUUGGAAGUUUUUCUUUUCUAUCCUCAUCUUCAUCUUCAUCCUCCUCUUUUUCUUUUCAUUCAUUUAUCUAGAUUCCAACAAGAAGCCGUCAAAAAAAUCUAAUAAACCGGAACCUCAUUAAAAGUCCAUCAUUCAUUAACUGAUUGUUGACUUUUUCUACUGCUGAUUUUUUGUUCCUUGGAUAAUCAUGAUCACAAUAAGAGAAACACCAACAACAACAACUUCUUCCCUUCCAAUCAACUUAAUUGUUGAUUUAAUAUCAACUUAAAUGAAAGAAAAUUCAUCAAUCCAACCCAAAGAUUGUCAAAAGGAUAAUUAAAUUACAUAUAAAAUACAUUUGGAUAAGGACAAUUGGCUUCGUGAAGGAAAACAACAAGAAAAAAGCAAAGGAAACAAGGAACAAGGAUAAUUAAUUAAUUGCUGUGGUUGUAAACAAUUAAUCAUCAAAAUGAAUUUAUAUCUAUGCUUUUUGCUUAAUAUGCUUAUCAUCAACCAUCAUCAUCAACAACAACAAACGUUGGUUAAAAAAAAAGAUUAUUUAAUAACAAUUUAACAAGGAAAGUUUAUUAAUAACAAGGAGAAUAAGGUUAUAACAAUUAAGCCUUUAGAAAAAUGCUUUAUCAUGAUAUGGAUUCAUGGGAAAUUGUUGGUUGAAAUUAAUUUCCAAGUCAUCGUCCUCAUCAUUAUCAUCAUCAAUGGGAUACUCACAAUUGAAACUUUAACUGCUCAACACUUUCACACAAGCUUUUAGUUGAUGUUGAUGAUCAUCACAAUAUUAUUAAACAACAACGAUUGUUAUAUUUGCUCCCAUGAACCAAGAAAAUUCAUCUUAAAUAGACGAAUCAGUUAGAUAACAUGAACCCAAGAACAACCAUUGGAAAACCCUAAGGAAGGAAACUAAUGAUAAUAUUAAUAACGAUAAUGAUAAUGGUCGUUGGAUAUUAGCACGUUCAAUGGGAACAACGAGCAGAGAAAGUGUCAAAAGAAAGGAAGAUGAAGAAGAGAGAGAGAAUUGUCAUCCUCUCUCUCUCUCUCUUUCUCUGUCAAAUGUUGACGUUAAUUGAAAGAAAAUAAUUUGACGAUGGAAAAAAUUUUCUCAUAAUUAUUAUUAUUCUGUGGUUACACAGUUUAUCCUAAAUAUUAUGAGAUUUUCAUACAAGAGAUAAGUUUUAACGUGCUAACAAGGAUAUUCCCAGCAUUUAGAUUGUAACAAUCAACAGAUAAUAGGAUACAGCUGAUGUUGUUAAUUAAAUGUUUAAAUGGUUCUCGAAACAAAGCAAAAAGUUAAUACAAAGUUUAUCUUUUGACUUUUUGUUUUGUUUUGUUUUGUUACUUCAUCUUGUUUAGAUUUUUAUUAACUGCAAACUAUUAAUAGUUAAAGAUUGAGAGGGAAAGUACAAUUUAAUUGCUUAAUUGAUUUUAAAUUAUCUCCAUGAUGAAAUUAACUGUUAAUAUACUUUGAUAGACAAUCAAUUUAAUCAUCGUUAAUGUAAACAGUUAACACAGUUGAUUAAAUAUCAACAUGUUUUGAUAUUCCAAUUGAGUUUGUUUAUGGAAAAACAUUGAACCAUUUUUAUUACCUGAAAGAUUAUCAUCUAAAUCAUAACAUUCCCUAAGUAUUUUCAUCUUUUAUCAUCAUUAUCAUCUUCAUCUCUCUUUUAUAUUAUAUCAUACAUACCCAGCUUACCUUAAUCUCCUCGAGUUUUCUGUGGUUAACCAAUAGAUUCAUGGAUAAUCAAAUAAAGAUGAGAAAAGGACAAGUUACCUGACAGAAAACUUUCCUUUUUUCUAUCAUUUCCAUUUUCACUUAAAAUGAUGACCACAAUGACCACGAUUAUGAUGAGAGAAUGAGGAAUACGAUGACCUAAGGUCAACUAUUAUUUGGAUAUCUCUAUGGACUCUCAUUUUCAAUGGGCAUUUACCUGAUAAUAGACAUUGAUGAUUGUCCAGGACACACACAAAGAGAAUGAUAAACUUUCUGGACAUUGGUCAGUUAAUGGAUUCGAUGGUCAAUAUAUGUAUAGAAAUAUGAAGGAAUAGAGUUUGAUUCACUUUGAAAACUAUUCUCUUUAAUCCAGUUACAAAUGGACAGUUAAUUUGUUGACAAUCAAUUUAGGAGAGAAUUGAUUUUUCCACGGUUUUCAUCGAUCAACAAAUCGAAUCAAAUUAAAUUAGAUCAUCAAUUAUCUAUGAAAUUAAUUCAUCAAAUGUAAUCGAAAUAUAAUCAUCAUAAUCAUGAUCAUAUCCCAUGAGUUUCUGUGUGUAUAUUUAAGGUGAAGGGUGGAAACCCAAGGUGUCAAGGAGUUUGAAGAGAAGGAGGAAUAAGAAGAUCCCAUGAAAAAAGUGAUGUUAAUUAAGAGCAAGACUAAUCAAGAAGAUGGAGAAUGAGAGAGAAAAGUAAAGUAAAAGGAUGAAAAUGAUGCUAAUUAACUUUAAAGCUCAACAUUUCUCUUUUCGCAACGAUGAAUUUAUAGAUAUGAAUACGAUUAUUAUUAAGGAAUAAUUAUAAUAUCAAGUAGGAAAAUAAUAUCUUAUUUUAUCACAGUGGGAAUGUCAGUGAAUUAAAUGUAAUAUAUAAAAAAAGAUGAAGAGGAAACCAAAAUGGUGAGAUGUAGAUUGAUAGAUAAUUAUAAAAACAGAGAGCGAGAGAGAGAGAGAGUUACCUUGAUGAGAGAUGAUGAAAAUAAAUGAGGUAAGAGAGAGAUGGAGAAGGUAAAACAUGUUGGUUAACCGAAGAUGAUGCUGAUCUGUUUUUGGAAUGUUCAUCUUUUUAAUCAGGCGAACAUGAUGAUUAUGAUGAUGAUGAUGAUGGAAGAUGAAACUGAGAAGAAGAUAAAGAAGAAAAAAAGUUCUAAGCUCCCUGAGAAAAAGUUGCUUGGCAACUUAAUAGGCGAAUAAGAUAUUCUCACAAAGAUAUUGAAAAGAUUCUGAUGAUCUGAUCAUGUAAAGCAAACACUUGAUGUUCACAUUUACAAUCAAAGAUGAAAAUGAGAGAGGAAAAAAACUAUAAACACCAAAUAGAAACGUAUCAAUAACAUGAUGAUUAAAAGCGACAUGACGAUUAGUUAACAUGAUCAUGAAGAUAAUCAUCACAAUUCAAUUAAAAUUGAAUAAUAAAACGUUUUAAACAUGUAACAUGUUCAAUUGCAACGAUCCAAUUGGAGUAAUAAAUUUCCAAGGGAAUCACAAUCUCUUUGAUCAUCGAAACAUAAACAACAAUUACGAUCCAUGUUUUCCAGUUAAUCGAGUUAAUUGUGACUAUUAAGAGGAAUAAAAAACAACAAAUUGGAGAAAAAUUAAAUUAAAUUGUUGA
Molecule: long non-coding RNA, 4960 nt
Organism: Panonychus citri (citrus red mite)
Lineage: Eukaryota; Metazoa; Arthropoda; Arachnida; Trombidiformes; Tetranychidae
Exons: 10
Source: RefSeq, a predicted model, not a curated record